AUUGAACGCUGGCGGUAGGCCUAACACAUGCAAGUCGAGCGGACCAAGGGAGCUUGCUCCUGCCUUCAGCGGCGGACGGGCGAGCAAUGCCUAGGAAUCUCGCUAGUUGCUUGUGAUAACGUCCGAAAAUGGGGGCUCAUACCGCAUACGUCCUGACGGCCUAAGUGGGGGAUCUUGGGAUCUUACGCUCUUACAUGAGCCGAGGUCGGAUUAGCUAGUUGGCGGGGUAAAGGCCUACCAAGGCGACGAUCCGUAACUGGUCUGAGAGGAUGAUCAGCCACACUGGAACUGAGACACGGUCCAGACUCCUACGGGAGGCAGCAGUGGGGAAUAUUGGACAAUGGGCGAAAGCCUGAUCCAGCCAUGCCGCGUGUGUGAAGAAGGCCUUCGGAUUGUAAAGCACUUUAAUUGGGAAAGAAGAGCAGUAAGUUAAUACCCUGCUGUUUUGACGUUACCAACAGAAUAAGCACCGGCUAACUUCGUG
This 484-nucleotide ribosomal RNA is filed under the name uncultured bacterium. Its description in RNAcentral is "partial 16S ribosomal RNA". It matches the Rfam family "Bacterial small subunit ribosomal RNA", at positions 30 to 507 of the family's 1533-position model. The record is from RNAcentral.